CCUGCCCAGUGAAAUAUUUUAAACGGCCGCGGUACUCUGACCGUGCAAAGGUAGCAUAAUCGUUUGCCCUAUAAUUGAGGGCUAGUAUGAAUGGUUUGACAAGAAUAAAGCUGUCUCCAUGUAAUUAUAUAGAAUUUUAUUUUUAGGUGAAGAAGCCUAAAUUUUAUUAAAAGACAAGAAGACCCUAUCGAGCUUUAAAGAAGUUAAUAAAGUAACAAUAAAUAUUAAUUAAAAUAGAUUUUAUUAAGAAUUUUGGUUGGGGCGACAAAGGAACAAUUAAAGCUUCUUUUCAAAUAAAGAAACCUACGAGUAUUGAUCCAGAAUAAUUCUGAUUAAAGAAAUUAGUUACCGUAGGGAUAACAGCAUUAUCUUUUUUGAGAGCUCAUAUCGAAAAAAAGGUUUGUGACCUCGAUGUUGGACCAGGAUAUCCAGAAGAUGCAGAAGUCUUCAAAGGUUGGUCUGUUCGACCAUUAAAAUCCUACGUGAUCUGAGUUCAGACCGGCGUGAGCCAGGUCAGUUUCUAUCUUUUAUUAGUAAAAUAAGUUUAGUACGAAAGGACCAACUUAUAGUAUUAUUAUAAUAUUAACUUAUAGAUUAAAUAUAAUGUAAAAAUAAAUAAAAUUUAC
This 626-nucleotide ribosomal RNA is filed under the name Bursa rhodostoma. RNAcentral's name for it is "partial 16S ribosomal RNA". The stretch from base 1 to 552 matches the Rfam family "Bacterial large subunit ribosomal RNA", at positions 1858 to 2925 of the family's 2925-position model. Lineage: Eukaryota; Metazoa; Mollusca; Gastropoda; Littorinimorpha; Bursidae. The record is from RNAcentral.